UACGUAGGGUGCAAGCGUUAAUCGGAAUUACUGGACGUAAAGCGUGCGCAGGCGGUUUUGUAAGUUUGUCGUGAAAGCCCCGGGCUCAACCUGGGAAUGGCGAUGAAGACUGCAAGGCUUGAAUCUGGCAGAGGGGGGUAGAAUUCCACGUGUAGCAGUGAAAUGCGUAGAGAUGUGGAGGAACACCGAUGGCGAAGGCAGCCCCCUGGGUCAAGAUUGACGCUCAUGCACGAAAGCGUGGGAGCAAACAGG
This 252-nucleotide ribosomal RNA is filed under the name uncultured bacterium. Its description in RNAcentral is "partial 16S ribosomal RNA". It matches the Rfam family "Bacterial small subunit ribosomal RNA", at positions 524 to 776 of the family's 1533-position model. The record is from RNAcentral.